ACGGAAGGCAGCAGUGAGGAAUAUUGGUCAAUGGACGGAAGUCUGAACCAGCCAUGCCGCGUGCAGGAAUAAGGCCCUAUGGGUCGUAAACUGCUUUUGUGGUGGAGCAAUAAGUCGUACGUGUACGGCGAUGAGAGUACAUCACGAAUAAGCAUCGGCUAACUCCGUGCCAGCAGCCGCGGUAAUACGGAGGAUGCAAGCGUUAUCCGGAUUUAUUGGGUUUAAAGGGUGCGCAGGCGGGAUGUCAAGUCAGUGGUGAAAUGGUGCGGCUCAACCGUAGCAUUGCCGUUGAAACUGGCGUCCUUGAGUGCGAAUGAGGUACGCGGAACGUGUCAUGUAGCGGUGAAAUGCAUAGAUAUGACACAGAACACCGAUUGCGAAGGCAGCGUACUGGGACGCGACUGACGCUGAGGCACGAAAGUGCGGGGAUCGAACAGGAUUAGAUACCCUGGUA
Molecule: ribosomal RNA, 454 nt
Filed under: uncultured Porphyromonadaceae bacterium
Lineage: Bacteria; Pseudomonadati; Bacteroidota; Bacteroidia; Bacteroidales; Porphyromonadaceae
Description: bacterial SSU rRNA
Rfam family: Bacterial small subunit ribosomal RNA
Source: RNAcentral